CUUAAGUGAAGAGUUUGAUCCUGGCUCAGAUUGAACGCUGGCGGCAUGCCUAACACAUGCAAGUCGAACGGCAGCACAGCAGUAGCAAUACUGUGGGUGGCGAGUGGCGGACGGGUGAGUAAUGCAUCGGGACCUGCCCAGACGUGGGGGAUAACGUAGGGA
RNAcentral lists this ribosomal RNA (162 nucleotides) under Dyella sp. OK004. RNAcentral describes it as "partial 16S rRNA. Bacterial SSU". It matches the Rfam family "Bacterial small subunit ribosomal RNA", at positions 1 to 154 of the family's 1533-position model. Lineage: Bacteria; Pseudomonadati; Pseudomonadota; Gammaproteobacteria; Lysobacterales; Rhodanobacteraceae. The record is from RNAcentral.